UACGUAGGCAGCAAGCGUUGUUCGGAGUUACUGGGCGUAAAGGGUGUGUAGGCGGUUCCUUAAGUUUGUUGUGAAAUCUCCCGGCUUAACCGGGAGGGUGCGGUGAAUACUGAGGGACUAGAGUACGGGAGAGGAAAGUGGAAUUCCCAGUGUAGCGGUGAAAUGCGUAGAUAUUGGGAGGAACACCAGUGGCGAAGGCGGCUCACUGGACCGGAACUGACGCUGAGGCGCGAAAGCGUGGGGAGCAAACAGG
This 253-nucleotide ribosomal RNA is filed under the name uncultured bacterium. RNAcentral's name for it is "partial 16S ribosomal RNA". It matches the Rfam family "Bacterial small subunit ribosomal RNA", at positions 524 to 776 of the family's 1533-position model. The record is from RNAcentral.